Molecule: long non-coding RNA, 705 nt
Filed under: Homo sapiens (human)
Lineage: Eukaryota; Metazoa; Chordata; Mammalia; Primates; Hominidae
Description: HSALNT0205186
Source: RNAcentral
UCUUGUACAUCAUAUCCUAAAAACAGGCGGUGCCAUGUUAAAGCAAGGAAGAAGAUAGAAAGCUAAGUAUAACACUCAACUCUUUCAAUGAUUGCAAAUGCUGCUAUUAUGCCCUUCAGUGAUCUAGAGGAAAAUAUAUUACCUAAAUCUCAUUUGGGGAGUGUUCAUGGUAUAUUCUGGUGUAACUAGAGUAUACUACUGUAAUAAUACAUAAUUUUAAUGCAAAUUUCUAAUGCAUGAAAAUUUUAAUGCAAUCUUCUAAUUUUCUGCAUUAUUAUAUUUCUGUCAAUAAGAGAUUCUGAUUAUAAUUUUGAAGACAGAUUCUCCAUGGCUAAAAUUUUUUUGUUUAUUGAAAACUUCCACUGAUGUAAUCUAAUUGCCAAAUGUUACAAUUGUUCUUAAAAUCAUACAAACAUAAUUGUAUUCUGUCUUGCAGUCUGGGGAAUAAAAGAAAAGUGUUCUAUAUGUGUGUAUAUGUAUAUAAAAGAAACAUAGUGCAGGAGAGUUUCAUAAAGUUUUUUCAAAAUUUUUCAAAGGUAAGCGAACAUCGUGCCAGUCAUUAUUUUGUAAAAACAUUUUAUAACGUAUCAUUCUUCAGACAUUUACAUCGGGUAUGAUGCUGGUUCAAGGUGAGGUAUAGCUCCUGAUGGCAUGGGGGAAUAAUCUGAUUGAUUUCCCAUAAGCAUCAUCCUUUCUGGCUGGGCA